RNAcentral lists this ribosomal RNA (264 nucleotides) under uncultured bacterium. Its description in RNAcentral is "partial 16S ribosomal RNA". It matches the Rfam family "Bacterial small subunit ribosomal RNA", at positions 1239 to 1500 of the family's 1533-position model. The record is from RNAcentral.
ACAGAGGGCAGCCAAGUCGUGAGGCGGAGCUAAUCCCUUAAAGCCAUUCUCAGUUCGGAUUGUAGGCUGAAACUCGCCUACAUGAAGCUGGAGUUACUAGUAAUCGCAGAUCAGAAUGCUGCGGUGAAUGCGUUCCCGGGUCUUGUACACACCGCCCGUCACACCACGGAAGUUGGGGGCGCCCGAAGCCACUUAGCUAACCCUUUUGGGAAGCGAGUGUCGAAGGUGAAAUCAAUAACUGGGGUGAAGUCGUAACAAGGUACC